UGGGGAAUAUUGGACAAUGGGCGCAAGCCUGAUCCAGCCAUGCCGCGUGAGUGAUGAAGGUCCUAGGGUUGUAAAGCUCUUUCCCCGGUGAAGAUAAUGACGGUAACCGGAGAAGAAGCCCCGGCUAACUUCGUGCCAGCAGCCGCGGUAAUACGAAGGGGGCUAGCGUUGUUCGGAUUUACUGGGCGUAAAGCGCACGUAGGCGGACUUUUAAGUCAGGGGUGAAAUCCCGGGGCUCAACCCCGGAACUGCCUUUGAUACUGGAAGUCUUGAGUAUGGUAGAGGUGAGGGGAAUUCCGAGUGUAGAGGUGAAAUUCGUAGAUAUUCGGAGGAAGACCAGUGGCGAAGGCGGCGAACUGGACCAUUACUGACGCUGAGGUGCGAAAGCGUGGGGAGCAAACAGG
RNAcentral lists this ribosomal RNA (404 nucleotides) under Actinomycetes bacterium. RNAcentral describes it as "Actinobacteria bacterium partial 16S ribosomal RNA". It matches the Rfam family "Bacterial small subunit ribosomal RNA", at positions 355 to 776 of the family's 1533-position model. Lineage: Bacteria; Bacillati; Actinomycetota; Actinomycetes. The record is from RNAcentral.